GCCAGCCCGCUCAGAACUCAAAGGAAUUGACGGGGCCCGCACAAGCGGUGGAGUAUGUGGUUUAAUUCGAUGCAACGCGAAGAACCUUACCUGGUCUUGACAUCCCGGAGACCCUUAGGAAACUAGGGGUGCUUCCAUCUGGAAGAAUCUGGAGACAGGUGCUGCAUGGCUGUCGUCAGCUCGUGUCGUGAGAUGUUGGGUUAAGUCCCGCAACGAGCGCAACCCUUGCCUUUAGUUGCCAGCAGUUCGGCUGGGCACUCUAAAGGGACUGCCGGUGUUAAACCGGAGGAAGUGGGGAUGACGUCAAGUCCUCAUGGCCUUUAUGACCAGGGCUACACACGUACUACAAUGGCCGAUACAAAGGGCAGCGACACUGCGAGGUGAAGCCAAUCCCGUAAAAUCGGUCUCAGUCCGGAUUGGAGUCUGCAACUCGACUCCAUGAAGUUGGAAUCGCUAGUAAUCGUGGAUCAGCAUGCCACGGUGAAUACGUUCCCGGGCCUU
RNAcentral lists this ribosomal RNA (501 nucleotides) under uncultured Desulfobulbus sp. RNAcentral describes it as "bacterial SSU rRNA". It matches the Rfam family "Bacterial small subunit ribosomal RNA", at positions 882 to 1382 of the family's 1533-position model. The record is from RNAcentral. Lineage: Bacteria; Pseudomonadati; Thermodesulfobacteriota; Desulfobulbia; Desulfobulbales; Desulfobulbaceae.